This 525-nucleotide long non-coding RNA is filed under the name Elaeis guineensis (African oil palm). Its description in RNAcentral is "long non-coding RNA (EGUI_LNC030055)". The record is from RNAcentral. Lineage: Eukaryota; Viridiplantae; Streptophyta; Magnoliopsida; Arecales; Arecaceae.
UCUCGUUGAGUUCUUUGCUUUCUUCUCACUGUUGUCUAGUCUCCUCUCUGACUUGACCGUCGGAGGGUCCCCGCCAGAGCCGCUUCCGGUCAAUGCGGACUUUCUUUUGCAGGCGCUCGUUCCCGGUGAUCUGGCGACGAGGGGAUUGGCCGCAACAAUUAUUAUGUCCAACUGAGGGUGCAACCCUGUAAGAGAAUUACAAUUCACAUAAGAAUAAGCUCAUAGGCAAUGGUGAGUCACUGAAGCAGAGAUAUUUCUUACUUGAUAGCUAAGUUGGGAUCUUAAAAACUGAGUAUUAAACAAGAAUACUACAAUUCACCAAUGAAACCGCAAAGAAUCAAGAAGUACACCUGCAAUUAUUUCGGCUAACAAGAACAAAAUGUUCAUUAGCUAAUAUAACCUUGAAGCUUGUCUUAUCAUGGCCUAAGAACUUGAGAACAGACAGAAAUUUUUAACAAUUUUGCAUCAUUAGGACAAGAGAUUAUUAGUUUUUUCUGAUGAGGACAACAAAUGGAGAAUUCUCAC